GCCGGCAGGCUACACAUGCAGUCGAACGGUAACAGGAAGCAUGCUUGCUGCUUUGCUGACGAGUGGCGGACGGGUGAGUAAUGUCUGGGAAACUGCCUGAUGGAGGGGGAUAACUACUGGAAACGGUAGCUAAUACCGCAUAACGUCGCAAGACCAAAGAGGGGGACCUUCGGGCCUCUUGCCAUCGGAUGUGCCCAGAUGGGAUUAGCUAGUAGGUGGGGUAACGGCUCACCUAGGCGACGAUCCCUAGCUGGUCUGAGAGGAUGACCAGCCACACUGGAACUGAGACACGGUCCAGACUCCUACGGGAGGCAGCAGUGGGGAAUAUUGCACAAUGGGCGCAAGCCUGAUGCAGCCAUGCCGCGUGUAUGAAGAAGGCCUUCGGGUUGUAAAGUACUUUCAGCGGGGAGGAAGGGAGUAAAGUUAAUACCUUUGCUCAUUGACGUUACCCGCAGAAGAAGCACCGGCUAACUCCGUGCCAGCAGCCGCGGUAAUACGGAGGGUGCAAGCGUUAAUCGGAAUUACUGGGCGUAAAGCGCACGCAGGCGGUUUGUUAAGUCAGAUGUGAAAUCCCCGGGCUCAACCUGGGAACUGCAUCUGAUACUGGCAAGCUUGAGUCUCGUAGAGGGGGGUAGAAUUCCAGGUGUAGCGGUGAAAUGCGUAGAGAUCUGGAGGAAUACCGGUGGCGAAGGCGGCCCCCUGGACGAAGACUGACGCUCAGGUGCGAAAGCGUGGGGAGCAAACAGGAUUAGAUACCCUGGUAGUCCACGCCGUAAACGAUGUCGACUUGGAGGUUGUGCCCUUGAGGCGUGGCUUCCGGAGCUAACGCGUUAAGUCGACCGCCUGGGGAGUACGGCCGCAAGGUUAAAACUCAAAUGAAUUGACGGGGGCCCGCACAAGCGGUGGAGCAUGUGGUUUAAUUCGAUGCAACGCGAAGAACCUUACCUGGUCUUGACAUCCACGGAAGUUUUCAGAGAUGAGAAUGUGCCUUCGGGAACCGUGAGACAGGUGCUGCAUGGCUGUCGUCAGCUCGUGUUGUGAAAUGUUGGGUUAAGUCCCGCAACGAGCGCAACCCUUAUCCUUUGUUGCCAGCGGUCCGGCCGGGAACUCAAAGGAGACUGCCAGUGAUAAACUGGAGGAAGGUGGGGAUGACGUCAAGUCAUCAUGGCCCUUGCGACCAGGGCUACACACGUGCUACAAUGGCGCAUACAAAGAGAAGCGACCUCGCGAGAGCAAGCGGACCUCAUAAAGUGCGUCGUAGUCCGGAUUGGAGUCUGCAACUCGACUCCAUGAAGUCGGAAUCGGUAGUAAUCGUGGAUCAGAAUUACGCGGUGAAUACGUUCCCGGGCCUUGUACACCCCGCCCGUCACGCCAUGGGAGUGGGUGCAAAAGAAGUAGGUAGCUUAUCUCUUCGGAGACGCUACCAAC
RNAcentral lists this ribosomal RNA (1428 nucleotides) under Escherichia fergusonii. RNAcentral describes it as "bacterial SSU rRNA". It matches the Rfam family "Bacterial small subunit ribosomal RNA". The record is from RNAcentral. Lineage: Bacteria; Pseudomonadati; Pseudomonadota; Gammaproteobacteria; Enterobacterales; Enterobacteriaceae.